Molecule: ribosomal RNA, 446 nt
Filed under: uncultured bacterium
Lineage: Bacteria
Description: partial 16S ribosomal RNA
Rfam family: Bacterial small subunit ribosomal RNA
Source: RNAcentral
GCCCAGACUCCUACGGGAGGCAGCAGUGGGGAAUAUUGCACAAUGGGGGAAACCCUGAUGCAGCGACGCCGCGUGAGCGAUGAAGUAUUUCGGUAUGUAAAGCUCUAUCAGCAGGGAAGAAAAUGACGGUACCUGACUAAGAAGCCCCGGCUAACUACGUGCCAGCAGCCGCGGUAAUACGUAGGGGGCAAGCGUUAUCCGGAUUUACUGGGUGUAAAGGGAGCGUAGACGGCAAUGCAAGCCAGAUGUGAAAGCCCGGGGCUCAACCCCGGGACUGCAUUUGGAACUGUGUAGCUGGAGUGUCGGAGAGGCAGGCGGAAUUCCUAGUGUAGCGGUGAAAUGCGUAGAUAUUAGGAGGAACACCAGUGGCGAAGGCGGCCUGCUGGACGAUGACUGACGUUGAGGCUCGAAAGCGUGGGGAGCAAACAGGAUUAGAUACCCCAGUA